RNAcentral lists this long non-coding RNA (994 nucleotides) under Populus trichocarpa (black cottonwood). RNAcentral's name for it is "long non-coding RNA (PTRI_LNC001839)". Lineage: Eukaryota; Viridiplantae; Streptophyta; Magnoliopsida; Malpighiales; Salicaceae. The record is from RNAcentral.
AUUUCUGGGCAAACCACUCUCAGAACAGUCAGAAUCGCCGGCUUACUUCUCCUCUUUCUACCGUUGGAUCAAUCUGAAUUUUGGAUAUGUGAUGCGUAUGGUUGUAUUACACAUUCGGAACGGUGGAGAUGAGAUGAAACCCUUCCAGCAAAGUGUUCAUGCACGCUCAACAGUGGUUCGUCAAUCUGAGGUCAGUUUUGAUCUAACUCCGAUCUAGAGAGAUCCAACCGUUAACUUGAGCUGAUAUUUGGAUAUGUGCUGCAUAAGAUGUGUGUUUACCUUUUCACCGUUGGGAUUUGUUAUUGUUUGAAUUGUUGGUGAGUAUUUUCUGUUUGAAGCUCUAUCCAGAAUCUGUCAUGGCUUCCAAUCCGAAACCUCAAAGCUAACACCACCUCCUCAACCACUAAACAUCCCACAAACCAUCACCAAAAUACCCAAAAUACAGCCUCCCCAAUGCAGGUUAGGUUUCUAAAAUCCCAAGAAUCAACAAACAAUCAAAAAUCCAUUUCCAAUAGCCACCUUGACCCAAAACAACAACCAUCCCUAAACACAAUCACAAUAUUCCUAGCCCAAAAACCCAGAAUAACCACUCCUUUAACAUUUCAGUGCCACAAAUUUACUUUGAAGGGUUCCCCAUAUGGGUUGAUUACCAUCGCAUAAAGGCUUCUUUUAACAAGUUUGGCUCUGUACUCAAACUCUAUGUAUCCAGGCGUGUCAACAAAUCAGGGAGUCUUUUUGGUUUUGUAACAAUAGCAUCAAACUUUUCUGAUAAAGUUUUGCUAGAGAGUGUGAAUGACAUUUGGUUUGAAUAUCACAGACUAAAGGCAAAUUUCGCCAGACACUAUAAAAAGAUUCCAAGAGAGAACAAAGCUCCCGACAGAUCAAAACCCAAAACAACUAUAAGAGUGCCUAUUAGUGAAAGAGAUGUAAGAAGUUACAAAGAGGUACUCAGUGAAGGGAAAGCGGAACAAAUACUUCUGCCUGUGGCUUCUGG